Long non-coding RNA from Betta splendens (Siamese fighting fish), 2342 nucleotides. Lineage: Eukaryota; Metazoa; Chordata; Actinopteri; Anabantiformes; Osphronemidae. The record is from Ensembl.
GUGCCCCAACCAACCUUCUUAUCAAGCCUCUCUUCCACCGCUACCACCUCUUAGCAAGCCUCUGGUGGGACGGGUUCAUCCUCUGUGCUGAGACUUAAUUAUGAUAUGCCACAGCAACGUCAGCCCCAAGUAUUGGCUGAGGUGGAGUCAACUUUAGCAGCAGUGAUGCAGCAUCAUAAUGCACAGUACGUAAGUCUUGUUUGUAUGUGUAUGUACUUGUAACAGUAUAUUGUUCAUAUGUUGCGUUUGUUUCUAGAAAGUCUGUCAUUUACCAGUUUGAAACGGCCCCGGGGUAAUUCCAUUAACUGGCGUUGGACCACGUGGUGUCACAUGCUUUUAUUGCCAGAUCUAACCUAAGCCAUGCAGAUGUUGGAUUAUUUGUUGCACAUGCAGCCCAUCUCCAGUCAGUCUGUGAAGAUGUCAUGGUCAGUUCUUUACAGGUCUGUGUGGUAGUUGGUUGUUUAGGUUAUAGACUUGUUCACAUUUGUGUCACGGUGGACAUGAGUGAAAGGUCCCAAAAGACUCAACGCUGAUAAUAUUUCAUCUUCUUCUAUAUUUGCAUAAAUCAAAUCUAAACCUUGUUUUCUCACCCAAUGGUUGGUGUCAGCGCAACAGAGCUAAGAUUUGACAUUUACUUGGUUUAUUCUAGUUCAUAAACUCUGAAAACAUUUAAAAAUCACACUCCUGCUGUGCACCCGUUUUUGUGGGCAGUACCAAGAUCAUAAGGCGCAUAAACCAACCUCGUGUUAAGCCAACACCUCCGUCUCCUGCAGAGGAGCUCCACAAUGGGGAAAUCCACAGGUCAGCAAGAAAGCAAAAGAGACUGCGCCCUACAGAACCUUGCAGCGCAGAUGAAGGCACUCCCUAAAGUUGUGGGCUUGAAGCGGCGGCGUUGGUGGCAGCGGUGGUGGCAGCCUCUGGAAAAGCAAUGUUGGCAGUGCUUGUGGCGGGUGAGGAGGAUGAUGAUCUCCAUGGGGAGUGCCAGGGCCGUCACCCUCUGCGACAUCCAUUCCCGUCUCCACAGCGGAUUCUUCCCGUGAGACGGGGUCGGUGUCAGCUGAACAAGCAGCAGCAGCAGCAGCAGGCUGGUCAUGCAGAAACUGCAUGUCCUGCAGCUCCCCAAACCCCUCGUCCUCCUCCCCCUCAUCAUCAUCCACAACCUCCACGUCAGCCUCAUCCAGGCCGUCGGGAGCGUCUGGAUCCCGGCCCAAAUCCUCCAGCACGGCACCCGUCUGGGAAAACAGGUACUCCACCCCAAUCAGCUCACCUGAAAGAAACACAAGGCGACAUGAGUUUACAUGUUUUCACUCAUGUACUCAUCACUCGGGGUGUGAUGCUGUGAUUUCCAGUCCACUACCUGUGUACUCUCCAGGCUGGGUGUAUGUCUCCACCAGCGUCAUACCCAUAAACUCUUGGGUCAGCUGCUUGAGGUAAUCCUGCAGCAGGGCAUUGUAGCAGCGCGGGACCAGCCUCUGGGCUCCUUCCACUGAAGCUCUGCCGCGGUCUUCAUUCCAUCGUACCAGGCCCUCCAGCAAGUACACCUGAAAGUGCAGGGCACUGGCUGACGUGCCUGGAGACAGGGAGAGACAAAAAAAUUCCACUAUUUGGAAAACAAUCUCAACUUCAACAUCUCACAACAACACAACACUAGUAACAAGAAAAAAACUAAACAGCCGUUUGUUUCCCCUUUUGUUUCUCACCAGGUAUGAAGCCGUUCAGGUGAAGGUGGAAGGACUCCAGUGAAGUGGAUCCUCGGGCGCAGCGGUAGACGGGGAGCCGGAUCCCUCCCUUGGUCAGCUCCCCCGUCUUAGUGUAGAGCGCCACUCCCGGGGGAUCCUGGAUGCAGCUCAGGUGACGACGCUGCACGCUCCAAAUCGCCUCCAUCCUUUCAUGAUCGAUGAGGACGACGCCCAGAUCGUUUCGCAGGUCCCAGAACUGAUCCAGGAGCUCCUGGAUCAGCCUCUCCGUCUCUGCCGCGCGUGUAGCGGCGGCAGUGACGCGCCAGCUCCUUGGCAGAGAGACGGAUGUAGGAAUCUCUGCCCUCCUCUGCGCGCUUGGCCUUCUCCAGCAGAGCCAGGUCGUCCUGGUCCCACAGGUAGAUGGCGUAGGACAGCCGCGCCAUGAACUGAGGGUACAGCUGGUGGCUCUCAGUGGUGACACCUCUGGCAAAGCGUCGCAUGAGGUGCCACACGUCCAGCCUCACCACCAGCUGGUCCCACUCGGAGAACAUGGCGGAUGUGCCCGUCCGUCCAGUGAGGGAGCAGCAGUCACGGCCCACGUACAGCACCGCUGGAGGGGCCACCUGGGCUUCUCGGUACCGCCGCAUCAGCCCUGCGGCCAUG